Molecule: long non-coding RNA, 2378 nt
Organism: Phragmites australis (common reed)
Lineage: Eukaryota; Viridiplantae; Streptophyta; Magnoliopsida; Poales; Poaceae
Exons: 6
Source: RefSeq, a predicted model, not a curated record
GCCGCUACACUGUAGCAUUGGAAAUAGCAUCCGCUGGAGAGUGAUGCUGCGAGCGGCGGCCGGCAAAACAAGCGGUACAAGACCGUUUUGCGGGCGCUGCUGGAACUACCCUCAGGCCAAUGCCAAUAUGUUUUGAGCAGCAUGUUGGGCAACACUUUGUAACACCAGAUAUUGUUAGAUAAUGUCCUGAUAUGAUCCUAUAUGAGUAAGAAAAAUGCUCAUAGAGGUACUGGGCCCUUUAACUUUCAAACUUCGUAGAUGUAAUUUUAUAUUUGGGUUUGAUUCUGACUUAUUCUUUGGCCAAUUAGACACAAGAUGAUCAUGUAGAAAGUACCCAUUUUACGACAGGCUUUAAAAAGGAUAGUCUGUGACACUAUCACUUGACGGAGCUGUCUCUGAUUUGAAUUAAUAAUUGCAGCAAUCGUAACAAGGUUUCAAUCUUUAAAGACAAGGUGGACCGUGAUGUGAUUAAGAUGGGUAAGAGUAUUAGGUCUGUCCCAUUUGAUAUUGCGAAUGGGCCUCCACAAGAAAAUGCCAAUUUAUCAACACUGGAAUAGACUAUGAAAAACCUCCCGGAGAUAUUACCAAUGUAUGCACUGACGUGACUAAUUUCACAAUACCACCUAGCAUUGGUAAAAAAGGUCCUUUGUCAAGAAGUUUGCUUCGUGUCCCAUUUGAUAUUGCGAUUGGAUCCUCACAGAAAAAUGUCAAUUUGUCAACACCAAAUAUUCAUGAACAAGGACUAAAUGUAUCACCUACCUCACAAAUACACAAUAAUUCAACCCCCCGGAAUCAUCACAGUUCAAGAGAACGUGACUGGGAGUGAUACUAGCGGAUCAGCAGUGAAAAGAAAGAAGCCUACUUGAAAAGGAAACGCGAGUACUAUCAGAUCUCAUGUUCUGGUCGCAGUUUAAUGCCAACACCUCAUCCUGUCAAUACCAUCUCAAGUCAGUUUCCUAUUAGCAAUUAUGCAUUGAUUGGUCAUGACAUCCAAACCCAAACAUUCAGUUUCCUAUUAGCAAUUAUGCAUCAAUUGGUCAUGACAUCCAAACCCAAACAUCUCAGGUACCUGUACAGAAAAAACACACAAUUAUGAGGUGGGUCACAUGCUUUCCUCGCUGAAAUGCUUUGUCUGUGUAAUUACGAUUUUGAGCGAUUUUGUAUCAUUGUUAGAUCUCGAUGGCACGCUACAUGUAUUUGUGUCACAGAUGUAUUCUUUUAAGGGUCAGAAAGAAUUAACUGGUAUAAGCCUUGACGUUCAGAUAUUGGAAGGGAUCAAGAACACAUUGAGUUGUACACUAUCAAAAGUUAUAAUACGGCAUAACAAACCAAAUAAGGCGCAUAUAACUAGAGUUGCCCCGCAAGGUACAUAUUUCUAUUGCGAUUGUUGUCCUUUCUCUUUAGCUAUAUUAGUCCCUUGCAUAUGUUUUGUUACAGAUUAUGUUUGUACUGGAGAAGAUAUUGUUAUUGUCGAAUCCAUCAAAUCAUCACCUAGAAAUAGAAUACUUGUGGACAUUGAUGAUGCAUUUGUAGACAAGUUCCAUUUCGAAUGCCUUCUACAGCCUAACGAUUCUUAAAUGAUGAAGUAAGUACACCUGCAUAAAUCAGUAUAUUAAGAUUGCCUGGUGUGACAAAACAAAACAUAAACUGGAUAAAGUGUUCUAGUGAUAUUUCUUGCUGAGAUCACAAAAAUCACGAAGGCACUCGCACUGCAAUGAGGUCACAACAGAAACUUCAUUAAGAAAUCAAUAUAUUUUUCCACACCAUUUUGAGGCAACUCCUAUUUCAGCAGAGAACAAGGAUAUUAUAAUUUGUCAAAGAGUUAUUGUUUGUUAUACCUUUGGCUAGAAGUUUUCCCCUGUACAAGCUUACUAUCUUGAUUGCUACACUUGUUUCAAAUGAAAUAUGCAUAGAUUUCUAUAACUCUUAAUAUAUACUUCAAUGUACAAAUUGACGAGGAAAAUUGAAGGAGGAAUGCCAUGUUUUCAAGACUGUAUCUAAUGACUUCCAGAAGAUGUGUCAAUGGACAUUGUUUGAGAAAGAAACUGGUGAAGGGGAGCAGCAGCCCAAGGGUGAUAUGGAGAUGGGAAUACGGGAUAGUUUUAUUUGACAUUUAGUUCAGAGCAGUGCAUAGCAAAGUACAACAAUCAGAAUCAGAUGAAGCAGGUUAAACUCAGUGGCCAAAAUUCAGGAUAAAGAGUUGAAGACAUUCAGGACAGCUGAAAAUGUACAUGGCGUUUCUCACAUCUCAACUUGACAGUGUUUUAUUACUUUAAUAUAAGACACACCUUGGAAUGUCAUAGUUGAUAACAAAAUUAACUAUUUGAAUAUCCAACCCAUGGCUGCCCACAUCAGUAGCAAGCAAUACGGAACCUGAC